GCUGAGAUAGCCAAGGUGGUCAAGGCACCUGUCUGAAGAACAGGCUAUGCGUGUUCGACUCACGCUCUCAGCA
Candidatus Levybacteria bacterium RBG_13_35_9 is the source of this 73-nucleotide non-coding RNA. Lineage: Bacteria; Candidatus Levyibacteriota. The record is from Rfam.